GUGCGACAGGCAUUGAGGCAGCGAGCGCAGAGAUGGCUUUAGGAUGGAGAUGCUGCUUGAGGAGCCCGCAGAUAAGUUUUUCUAUUAAAAAAGAUAGGCGUUAGUGUAUUUCUUUAGGGAUUAUAAGUAGUGAAAAUACGGAGAUACUGCUUUGCAUUAAGUUCUUAGAUAAAUUUUAGGGAAAAUAUGAAGACUUAAAGAGUAGUUGGAGAAAGGAAGAGGGAAGAAAAAAGAUAAUUUUAGAACCUGAUGGAGGUUAAGAGCUGAAAUUUUUUCAUGGAGUGAAAAAUUUAAAAGAAUUGAUGAGCUAGGACUGCAAUGUCUGGAUUUUUUUUUUAAAGCCUUAACUUGAAGGGCAACCUUUUACCUUAACAUUAAAACGUUGGGUUACGUAAAUCGAACCUAAACGUUUUAAAAGGUUGAGUUGUAGGUGAUUAAAAUACUACAAAGGCCAUCUUAAGAUUUAACUGAAGGUGGUUUCAGAAAUAAUGCCUUCAAAUUCACGGCGCAGUAAAAAUGGCGUCAUUUGAAGCCUGCUUGAUACUAAGGCUUUGUUUGGCUAAAGUUGACGGAAAUAUUAGGAAUGGUAGGAAAGAAAAUUGGAAGUUUGAAGUGGAAAAUUCGGAAGACAGAAGUACAGGAAGGUGAAGAAAAAACUAGAGAAGAUAAGAGAUACACGUUUUAGAAGACAAAACCUGAGCCUAGUAAGUAGGCAGAAAAAGACAAAUCUAGGAGAAAAUUGAAAAUACGGUCGAGUGCUUAAGAUAGAAUGAAAAGAAAGCUAUUGGACGCAAACAUACAAGAUAGACGUCCAAAAAUUUAGAUAGUUCAAAAUCAAUAAUGUUGGAUAAAUUACAGGAACAAAAACUAAGGAAAUUUUUAUAGCCAAUAAGAAUUUAUUGUAAAAGCCCAUCAACUUAUCUCUGGUGGUGCAAAAGUUAGAUCUCAGAAGAUGAGGGUUUUUUUUUUUAAAACUACUGUAGACCAGGACCAACUUAGAAGAAAAUCCGGAAACUAGGAGAGUCAAUUUAAAAUCUCAGCAAAAAGUUACUGAAGGGGACUGAAGUAACUUAAAAGUUAAGAAUGUAUUUGGGAGAGUUAAAAAUCUGAAAGGCCUUAAAUGCGGUAGCGUAGUUUCCUUUGGAAAAUGUAAAGGACUUUGUAAGUGAAUUAAAUUGAAGAGCAAGAAUAACCAUCGAGUUAUUGGACUUUGAGCUAAGAUGAAUGUUUAAAUCCUGAGGACUAGGCGCUAAAUAACAGCUGACGCAGGUGCUACGCAGAAGUGGAUUCAGUGAAGCUAGGAAGACAGGAGCGGCAGACAGGAUUCGGAGCCAGUGUUGGUGAAAACUAGGACUGAGGAGCCAGCGGCAGUUCGUGAAGAUAGGAAAGAGAAGCCCGGGAGCCAGUGCGACUUGGUGAAGGAAGCUAGGAAGAAGGAGCGAGUCCUAACGAUUUGGAGGUGAAGCUAGGAGAGGAUUCCAGGAAGGAGGAAGCCAGUGCGGUGUGGUGAAGCUAGCGUGCGGCUUGGCUUGGCAACCACGCGGAGGCGGCGAGCAGGCGGAGUGGAGGAUAGAUAGAGGAUCCUAGAGCAGCAGACCAGUGUACGAGCCCCGCAGGGAGAGCCAGUGGUGUGGUAAAAAUCCGUGAAGUCGGCACUAUCGUGGGUUUUUUUUCCUCCUGUAACUCAGUAUGGUAAUAUCUCUUAUUAAAUUUUCCUAAUAGUAAUGGGGGAGUUGUGUACUUAAGCAUAAAGGGGAUUUUAUUACGGGGAUGUAGGCCGGUUUUCGGGUGUCGUAGGUUUCUCUUUUUCAGGCCUAUUUUCUCAUGCAUCUUGUCUGGAGCUUUUGAGGGCAGACUUCAAGGCCCGGAGGAAUGGUAGAUGGCAAGUGUUCUUGUUUUUAACCAAUAUGAGGGAUGUCCUGAAUUUGGUAGAACAACUGUGAGACAACUUCAGCAAGCUUUGUAAACAGGUUUUAUAUUCAGUUUGGGGGUAAUGAAGCAUUUCAGUUUCGUGAGUAGAGGGCCUACUUUUCUUUCCUCACCCUGUAUUUUAAAAGUCUUCUAAAUAUGUAGUUUCGGUGUAUAAUUCUGGGCGGGGGGAGUUUUUUUGGGGGGGGGAGCAAAAUAUGUUUUGAGUUCUUUUCCCUUUAGGUCUGUCUAGAAUUCCAAAGGCAAAUGACUCGAGGUAACAGGCGAAAAGAAAAUCCAAUAUCAGGAUAAUCAGAACACUGCAGGUUUACAGUUAUAGAAACUCUAGCACAAGCAGCUUUCACUUUGAGGUCUGUGGCGCAGCUGUCCAUUGGAGUAAUGGCUGGUAGUUUAUUCUUUUUUUCCCCACCCCUUUAUUAAAUAUUUUUAUAAAGUACGUAACUGGUUAUUUUUACUUAAAUAUUUUGGGGUGGUGUGAACAGGGAAGAGGGUGGGGGAGAAACUUUUUUUUUCUAAGAUUUUCCACAGAUUCUAUAGUACUAUUGACAAUCUGAGUUAGAGAAGGAUUGUACUGCUACGCUGUUUGGCACCAACACCUUCAGGGAUUGGAGCAGCUUUUUUCCUUGGAAGAGUAUUCCCAGUGAAGCUGAAAUGUACAGCCCAGUGCAGCUUUGGUUCAUAUUCAGUCAUCUCAGGAGAACUUCAGAAGAGCUUGACUAGGCCAAAUGUUGAAGGAGCUUCAGAGCAAAGGAGGUGGCUUAAUGAUCCUGAAGGGAUUUCUUCUGGUGGUAGCUUUUGUAUUAUCAAACAGGUUUUUCUUCAUUAUCAGAAGAGUUGCUUCAUUUCAUCUGGGAGCAGAAAACAGCAGGCAGCUGUUAACAGAUAAGUUUAACUUGCAUCUGCAGUAUUGCAUGUUAGGAAUAAGUGCUUACCUUUGUGAAGAGCUGUGGAAGUCCUAG
Bos indicus x Bos taurus (hybrid cattle) is the source of this 2888-nucleotide long non-coding RNA. NCBI's taxonomy places the organism in Eukaryota, Metazoa, Chordata, Mammalia, Artiodactyla, Bovidae. The record is from Ensembl.